AUACGUAGGGGGCGAGCGUUGUCCGGAAUUAUUGGGCGUAAAGGGUACGUAGGCGGUUUUUUAAGUCUGGUGUGAAAUUGGUGGGCUCAACCCACCCAAGCAUUGGAAACUGGAAAACUUGAGUCAUGGAGAGGAAAGUGGAAUUCCUAGUGUAGCGGUGAAAUGCGUAGAUAUUAGGAGGAAUACCGGUGGCGAAGGCGACUUUCUGGACAUGUACUGACGCUGAGGUACGAAAGCGGGGGGAGCAAACAGGAUUAGAUGCCCUGGUAGUCCACGCCGUAAACGAUGAGUGCUAGGUGUUGGGGGUCAAACCUCGGUGCCGCAGUUAACACAUUAAGCACUCCGCCUGGGGAGUACGUGCGCAAGCAUGAAACUCAAAUGAAUUGGCGGGG
RNAcentral lists this ribosomal RNA (392 nucleotides) under uncultured bacterium. Its description in RNAcentral is "partial 16S ribosomal RNA". It matches the Rfam family "Bacterial small subunit ribosomal RNA", at positions 523 to 918 of the family's 1533-position model. The record is from RNAcentral.